UAGUAAGAUUGAUCUGUGUGCAAAAUUAGU
RNAcentral lists this non-coding RNA (30 nucleotides) under Homo sapiens (human). Lineage: Eukaryota; Metazoa; Chordata; Mammalia; Primates; Hominidae. The record is from RNAcentral.